UACGUACUGCGCGAACGUUAUUCGGAAUCACUGGGCUUAAAGGGUGCGUAGGCGGUUUUUCUAGUCAGGUGUGAAAUCUUUCGGCUCAACCGGAAAAUGGCGCUUGAAACUGAUGAACUGGAGUAUGCUAGGGGUGUGCGGAACUGCCAGUGGAGCGGUGAAAUGUGUUGAGAUUGGCAGGAACGCCGGUGGCGAAAGCGGCACACUGGGGCAUAACUGACGCUGAGGCACGAAAGCCAGGGUAGCGAACAGG
Molecule: unclassified non-coding RNA, 253 nt
Filed under: uncultured Planctomycetales bacterium
Lineage: Bacteria; Pseudomonadati; Planctomycetota; Planctomycetia; Planctomycetales
Description: contains 16S-23S intergenic spacer region
Rfam family: Bacterial small subunit ribosomal RNA
Source: RNAcentral